This 377-nucleotide unclassified non-coding RNA is filed under the name uncultured Gammaproteobacteria bacterium. Its description in RNAcentral is "contains 16S-23S intergenic spacer region". The record is from RNAcentral. Lineage: Bacteria; Pseudomonadati; Pseudomonadota; Gammaproteobacteria.
UCCGGUUCAUCACCGGCAGUCUCCUUAGAGUCCCCAACUUUACUUGCUGGCAACUAAGGACAAGGGUUGCGCUCGUUACGGGACUUAACCCAACAUCUCACAACACGAGCUGACGACAGCCAUGCAGCACCUGUCUCUGCGUUCCUUUCGGCACUCCAGCUGCUAAGCCAGAUUCGCAGGAUGUCAAGGGUAGGUAAGGUUCUUCGCGUUGCAUCGAAUUAAACCACAUGCUCCACCGCUUGUGCGGGCCCCCGUCAAUUCAUUUGAGUUUCAACCUUGCGGCCGUACUUCCCAGGCGGAGAACUUAUCGCGUUAGCUUCAAUACUGAUUGGUUCCCCAACCAACAUUUAGUUCUCAUCGUUUACAGCGUGGACUAC